GUUUGGGGCCAAAAAGCCCAAUUUCCCAAUUCAAAUCUCAACCGAACGCGGAGCCGCGGUAACCGCACGGCCCAGAAACGAUUCCGGAGAAGCACCACGACGCAUACCUCAACUCCAACUUUCGAACGCAGUGAAACAAGAAAAAAAAAACGGGGAAGCAACAGUGAAUCUGAUCCUCUUCAGAAUCGAAAACUCCUUGCGCAAGGAAUUGAAACAAAUCCAAGGAAGGAAGAACCUACCGAAUUCGAUGUAAGCUCAGGGCGAUGCGUUCGCUAUUCUUCAAUCGUUGCAUGUUGAAUCAUUCCUCAAUUCUUUUGUCGUUGUUCUUAUUCUAAGAUGAAGAAUGUUGCAUUGUGGAUUGAGUUGACGCUGAAGACAAGUGGUCCGGCUUCGUGCGCGUGAACUAGUUGGCCAUGGGCUUGGAGUGUUGGUUUGAAGUUCAUUACUCGCUUGGAGUUCUUGGGAUCUAUUGGAUUCAUAAUUGUUGUGUUAGAUGUUUUCUUGUAGGAAAGGAUGUAAUGCAUGAUUAUGGUUUUGACAUUGAACUGGAAUGGCAUGUGCGUUAAAAUGCUGUAUUAUUGUAAUGAGAUGAAGUAUUGUAUUUAUGAAUGUAUUAACGAGGUAAUUGAAAAUUGAAAUGAAUGAGAUGUUAUUAAUGUAUAUA
This is a long non-coding RNA of Lathyrus oleraceus (garden pea), 664 nucleotides long. RefSeq lists it as uncharacterized. Lineage: Eukaryota; Viridiplantae; Streptophyta; Magnoliopsida; Fabales; Fabaceae. The transcript has 2 exons. The record is from RefSeq and is a predicted model, not a curated record.